UCGCCGGAGGAGCCGCCGUUCUUGGAACCCGUCAGGGACUGGCAGAUGGCGGUGAGCUUGGCGUCCACGGAGGCGUGGAGCGGGCCGGCGAGGUGCGCGCCGUCGCGGCGGAGGGCCGGGAAGUUGAGGCGCGCCAUGUCGCCGCGGAGGCGGAAGGCGGCCUUGUCGUAGGCGAGCGCCGCGUCCUCGGCGGUGUCGAAGGUGCCGAGCCACAGCCGGGUGCGGUUCUUGGGGAGGCGGAUCUCUGCCACCCACUUGCCCCAGUGGCGCUGGCGGACGCCGCGGUACAGCUUCGACUGCGCCGGCGCCAGCGGCGGCGAUCCGGACUGCUUCAUCGGCUGCGCCCG
RNAcentral lists this long non-coding RNA (347 nucleotides) under Sorghum bicolor (sorghum). RNAcentral's name for it is "long non-coding RNA (SBIC_LNC007337)". The record is from RNAcentral. Lineage: Eukaryota; Viridiplantae; Streptophyta; Magnoliopsida; Poales; Poaceae.